RNAcentral lists this small nucleolar RNA (132 nucleotides) under Octodon degus (degu). RNAcentral's name for it is "Small nucleolar RNA SNORA1 (ENSODEG00000020638.1)". It matches the Rfam family "Small nucleolar RNA SNORA1". From Rfam's summary of the family: ACA1 is a member of the H/ACA class of snoRNA that guide the sites of modification of uridines to pseudouridines. The record is from Rfam by way of RNAcentral. Lineage: Eukaryota; Metazoa; Chordata; Mammalia; Rodentia; Octodontidae.
AGCCUCAUUGUGGAUUAGAAUGCGCACUGUUGAUUGGUAUCCACAAUUGGUCAAUGUGGCUAAAAUUGAGACACAGGUCAUGCUUCCAUCACAGUAAACAUUACAGUGGUGACAAUGAGGCCUGUAACAUUU